AUGACCAACACAUCAUCGAAUGUCACGGACCCACUUAAGCCACCCCAGAAUUCCCUUGGGACCCUUUGGAAUUUGUCUCUCUUGGGCCUCCACUCCCAAUCCCUAGGCGACCACCAGUCUGCUUCCUGUCACUACAGGUGUUCCAGAACUGAUGUCAGAUUUGGCUCGUCAGAGUCCACAAACCAUAUUGGUGAAGAAGAUGAAUAGGAUUCCUGUUAAGCACAGAGACACCUGUGUUAAACAUUUACAUACAGAUUAACCCAAAUAUGCAAUUAAACCACACCACUAAAUGGCAAGAUGACCAUAGAUUUAAACAAAAUGUAUCAGGGGGAAAAGGCAACACAUUAAAACCCAUGUGAGGAGCUGGACUUUUGAGACAGCCAUUCUCCUGUCUGCUGCUACAGCUCACAGAAGUCAACAAUUUUCUUCAACACUGGUAGGCAGCCUCUAAAUGGCCCCGAUCACCCUCACCUCCUGCCAUUCAUACCCUUGUAAAAUUCCUGCCCCUGGACCUAGUGACUCACUUCUAACAAAGAGAAUGCAGCAAAAGUAAUAACAUCACUUCUGAGAUGAGGCUACAAGGAGACGAUUCCUGCCUUGGUCACCCUUCUCCUGCUCUUUCCAUUGCUCCCUCUGAUGGAAGCCAGUUGCCAUGUGAUGAGUUGCCCUAUGGAGAGGCCCACAUGGCAAGGUAUUGUAAAAGUCCUCUGACCAACAGCCAUCUAGAAAUGGAGGCCCAGUCCAACAGCCUCUGAGAUGAAUCCUGCCAACGUGAGCUUGGAGACGGAUUCUCUCCCUAUUCUGCCUUGGGAUGAUCAUAGCCACCACCAACACCUUCACUGCCUGGUGAGAGGCCAAGCCAGUGAACCCAAGGUAAACUGCACAGAAUCCUGACCCACAGAAACUGUGAGAUAAUGUUUGUGGUUUUAAGCUGCUAAAUUUGUUACAAAGCAAUAGAUAACUAAUUCAAACACCAUAAAAUUAUAAUAUUUUAUUCUAUCACACAAACCAAGUAAUACCAAGAAAUGCCAUUACUACACAUAUAUUUCUGCAACACAAUUACAUGUGAUUUUUUUUGAAAAGCUAAUGAACUAAGCAUUAUGUGCUUUUACCCACUAACAGACAUUUACUCUGUUACUUUGUAUUGUUUUCUAUUAUAAAUUGGGGAGAAGCCAUUAUUAUAUAUUAGCUUCAGAACAACUAGGUU
This 1207-nucleotide long non-coding RNA is filed under the name Piliocolobus tephrosceles (Ugandan red Colobus). Its description in RNAcentral is "lncRNA (ENSPTEG00000037952.1)". The record is from RNAcentral. Lineage: Eukaryota; Metazoa; Chordata; Mammalia; Primates; Cercopithecidae.